UUUUAUAGUGGUUCGGAGCUAACCCUUGCUCCUACGUCCACUCCCCAAGUCUCACUUGGGAAUUCACUAUAACCCCUUGGAUUAUAGCCGGUUGUUUUCCAAGCUCACAACCAAACUUGUUGUUUUACGAGCUCACAACGAACUCGGUCGGUUUUCCCAGGCUCACCGACUAGAACCACCCCGAUUGUUUUUUCGGGAUCACAAUCGAACCCUUACACACGUUGGUUUUACACUCGGCUCACCAACCAACCUCAAUACCCUUGAUUCAAUCCCCCGAUUGAACCAAGCAAAGACAAG
This 297-nucleotide long non-coding RNA is filed under the name Phoenix dactylifera (date palm). RNAcentral's name for it is "long non-coding RNA (PDAC_LNC007101)". The record is from RNAcentral. Lineage: Eukaryota; Viridiplantae; Streptophyta; Magnoliopsida; Arecales; Arecaceae.